UUUUUUUUUUUUUUUUUUUUUUGAUGUGGCUGACAGAGGUCUGGACUCACAAGCUAUCCACUUCUCCCCAGCUGGGGUCCAUGAUUUUCAAGAGUGUUUCUCCCCUCCCCUUUAAACAUAAACAUUGAACUCACUUUUACAUUUUGUCAAAAGGUUAAUCCUGAAGCAGAAGAGAGAUGUGGUGAGAUGUUUCUGCUGAAGGCUGGGUAUGGCAGGCAGCAAAGGCACCAUUUUUCUGCAAACCCGCAUGAGUACCAGGGGGUCAGCACGCAGCAUGAUCAGGGGUGUGUGACCCCUGCUAUGUGGAAAUGUGGAAGUGCCAGCUGCUGCUCACAGACCUAGGGUGUGGGUCAACUCUUGGGGCUACUGUGAUGAGUUAUGCACCAAAUGGACACACCUGAGAGCCAGGACAUCAUCCAGAGGGACCUGAAUGAGCUUGAGGAGAGGGCCCAUGUGAAACUGAUAAGAGAAAACCAGGGCAAGUACAAGACUGAACCUGGGUCAGGGCAGCCCCUGGUGUCAAUACAGGCUGGGGGAUGAACAGAUUGAGGGCAGCCCUGCUGCGGAGAAUGUGCUGGUGCUGGUGGAUGAAGAGCUGGAUGUGAGCCAUGUGUGUGCACUCACAGCCCAGAAAGCCAGCCAUGUCCUGGGCUGCAUCCAAAGAACCCUGGCCAGCAGGCCAGGGGAGGUGAUUGUGCCCCUCUACUGCAGUCUUGUGGGACCCCACCUCUAGUGCAUCCAGCUGUGGGGUCAUCUGCACAAAAACCCCAUGGAUUUGUUGUAGCAAGUCAAGAGGAGGCUUGAACACCUUUCCUAUGAGGAAGGGCUGGAGAGUUGAGGUUGUUUGGCUUGGACAAGACAAGACUCCAGGGAGAACUCAUUGCAGCCUUACAGUACCUAAAGGAAGCUUAUAAGGAAGAUGGGGACAGACUUUUUAGCAUGGUCUGUUGUGAUAGGACUAGAGUAAUGAUUUUAAAAUAAAAGACAGUUGAUUUAGACCAAAUAUAAGGGAGAUUUUUUUUGUUUUCUUUUUUUGGUAAUGCAAGUGGUGAGGCAUUGGAGCAGGUUGCCCAGAGAAGUUAUGGAUGACCCAUCCCUGGAAAUAUUCAAGGCCAGACUGGAUGGGGCUCUGAGCAACCUGGCCUGGCUGAAGAUUUCCCUGAACAUUGCAGGAGGGUUCGGAGUAGAUGGCCUUUAAAGCUCACUUCGAACACAAAAUGUUCUGUGAUUCUAUGAAAUGACAAAUGUCAUUGCCUGAUUAAUGCCUGUGACCUUCUCAUGAGAUUGCUUGUGUGGAAAAGCUUGUUGAAACUGUAUUUUGAUAACUUCUCUCCUGUACAAAACCGUGGACUUCAUUGGUAAAACCUGGUACUUCCUAUCAAAGCCUAGUUAGUCCUGCAGUGAAUUUAAUAACAUUAAUGCAGCUUGCCUAAAAAAACCCAUUAAUUUUCAUUUCUUUCUCUGACUGGCUGGCCUUGCUAGCAUGGUGAACAAUGUGGUAGAAGGAGCACUGCCUAAUUGUCUUAUUCCAAGAGAACCUGUUCACCUUCUCUUAUACUUAGAUAAGGAAAGUUUUUGGUACAGACUGUACUGAACUCUUGAUGCGAAAUAACUGCUCAGCUAAAGGAUGACAGUGGAGACUGAAAAGCAAGAGCUGGGUGCCAAAUGAAAGCCUUGAGGUGAGGAUUAGUGUGUGUGACUCAUGGCAAUAAAUCCAGCCCAGUGUUCA
This is a long non-coding RNA of Haemorhous mexicanus (house finch), 1729 nucleotides long. RefSeq lists it as uncharacterized. The transcript has 2 exons. Lineage: Eukaryota; Metazoa; Chordata; Aves; Passeriformes; Fringillidae. The record is from RefSeq and is a predicted model, not a curated record.